GACGAACGCUGGCGGCGUGCUUAACACAUGCAAGUCGAACGGAAAGUCCCUGCUUUUGUGGGGUGCUCGAGUGGCGAACGGGUGAGUAACACGUGAGUAACCUGCCCUUGACUUUGGGAUAACUUCAGGAAACUGGGGCUAAUACCGGAUAGGAGCUCCUGCUGCAUGGUGGGGGUUGGAAAGUUUCGGCGGUUGGGGGUGGACUCGCGGCUUAUCAGCUUGUUGGUGGGGUAGUGGCUUACCAAGGCUUUGACGGGUAGCCGGGCUGAGAGGGUGACCGGACACAGUGGGACUGAGAUACGGCACAGACUCGUACGGGAGGCAGCAGUGGGGAAGAGUGCACAAUGGGCGGAAGCCUGAUGCAGCAACGCCGCGUGCGGGAUGACGGCCUUCGGGUUGUAAACCGAUGUCGCCUGUGACGAAGCGUGAGUGACGGUAAUGGGUAAAGAAGCACCGGCUAACUACGUG
Molecule: ribosomal RNA, 468 nt
Filed under: uncultured bacterium
Lineage: Bacteria
Description: partial 16S ribosomal RNA
Rfam family: Bacterial small subunit ribosomal RNA
Source: RNAcentral